AUUGAACGCUGGCGGCAGGCCUAACACAUGCAAGUCGAGCGAGCGGCGGACGCGUGAGAAAUGUAUGGGGACUGCUCGAUAGAGGGGGAUAACUACUGGAAACGGUAGCUAAUACCCCAUACUAUCGGAUAACCCAUAUGGGAUUAGCUAGUAGGUGGGGUAGAGGCUCACCUAGGCGACGAUCCCUAGCUGGUCUGAGAGGAUGAUCAGCCACACUGGAACUGAGACACGGCCCAGACUCCUACGGAGGCAGCAGUGGGGAAUAUUGCACAAUGGGCGCAAGCCUGAUGAAGCCAUGCCGCGUGUAUGAAGAAGGCCCUAGGGUUGUAAAGUACUUUCAGCGGGGAGGCGUUACCGGCAGAAGAAGCACCGGCUAACUCCGUGCCAGCAGCCGCGGUAAUUC
This 403-nucleotide ribosomal RNA is filed under the name uncultured bacterium. RNAcentral's name for it is "partial 16S ribosomal RNA". It matches the Rfam family "Bacterial small subunit ribosomal RNA", at positions 30 to 526 of the family's 1533-position model. The record is from RNAcentral.